GGGAAUAUUGGACAAUGGGCGCAAGCCUGAUCCAGCCAUGCCGCGUGAGUGAAGAAGGCCUUAGGGUUGUAAAUCUCUUUCGGCGGGGAAGAUAAUGACGGUACCCGCAGAAGAAGCCCCGGCUAACUCCGUGCCAGCAGCCGCGGUAAUACGGAGGGGGCUAGCGUUGUUCGGAAUUACUGGGCGUAAAGGGCACGUAGGCUGGCUGUUAAGUCGGGGGUGAAAUCCUGAGGCUCAACCUCAGAAUUGCCUCCGAUACUGGCGGUCUUGAGUGCGGGAGAGGUGAGUGGAAUUCCCAGUGUAGAGGUGAAAUUCGUAGAUAUUGGGAGGAACACCGGUGGCGAAGGCGGCUCUCUGGACCGGUUACUGACGCUGAGGCGCGAAAGCUAGGGGAGCAAA
This 399-nucleotide ribosomal RNA is filed under the name uncultured bacterium. RNAcentral's name for it is "bacterial SSU rRNA". It matches the Rfam family "Bacterial small subunit ribosomal RNA", at positions 357 to 772 of the family's 1533-position model. The record is from RNAcentral.